RNAcentral lists this ribosomal RNA (468 nucleotides) under uncultured bacterium. Its description in RNAcentral is "partial 16S ribosomal RNA". It matches the Rfam family "Bacterial small subunit ribosomal RNA", at positions 36 to 507 of the family's 1533-position model. The record is from RNAcentral.
UCCUCCCUCUGGCUUCGUGCUUAACACAUGCAAGUCGAACGGAAAGGCCCUGCUUUUGUGGGGUGCUCGAGUGGCGAACGGGUGAGUAACACGUGAGUAACCUGCCCUUGACUUUGGGAUAACUUCAGGAAACUGGGGCUAAUACCGGAUAGGAGCUCCUGCUGCAUGGUGGGGGUUGGAAAGUUUCGGCGGUUGGGGAUGGACUCGCGGCUUAUCAGCUUGUUGGUGGGGUAGUGGCUUACCAAGGCUUUGACGGGUAGCCGGCCUGGGAGGGUGACCGGCCACAUGGGGACUGAGAUACGGCCCAGACUCCUACGGGAGGCAGCAGUGGGGAAUAUUGCACAAUGGGCGGAAGCCUGAUGCAGCAACGCCGCGUGCGGGAUGACGGCCUUCGGGUUGUAAACCGCUUUCGCCUGUGACGAAGCGUGAGUGACGGUAAUGGGUAAAGAAGCACCGGCUAACUACGUG